CAGCAUGCAAGUAACCAGGAGCUGCAGCUCAGUGGCUAUUACUGAACCCAUCACAUCAAUCUCGCUUAGAACAACUACAACAAUGCCUUCUGCAUGCCAUGGAACAAGUAAAUAAAUAAUGAUCUGCUUGGCUCUUGAUACACACAAAAGAACCCUGUUGAAUAUGGGUGCCAAAUCCUGGCCCGGCCUCUAUCCGUCACAGCUGCCCUGGUAUUAAUGUCUCAGUUGCUGUGCCUCUAAUCUAAACUCCCUCCAGAUAAAACAGCCAUGUAAAAAGAAGGGACACGGUUCAGUUUUCAGCUCCGCCUUGAACAACGCUGCUCAGUGAGGAAGCUAAAUUAUUUCUGUGUUCAUCUGUGAAGAGGUCAAUUGUGCUAAUUACUGCGGAGAGAAUAAAGGGAAGGGGAAAUAAAAGGUGAGGCUAAACGAUUUGCAUGGACCCAGUUUGUCAAUAUGUAUCAUACCAGGUGAGUCUGAGUUAAAUACUGAAUUUUGAUGGGCAGGGACACCGAGCAGACCUUUAGGAGACGGGAAUAAGAGGUAAAUUGCUUUUGGGACCUCUCCAGUGAAACCAGACGCACAGUCCCUGUCACACUCACAGGAAGCUAAGUGAAUUAGCAGUGGCCAUUAGACACUUAAUAAUUGAAAUGUUUUAAUAACGGCACGAAGGGAGUCACUUUAACUGCAUUAACAUUACAUGAUCAUUGUCUCAUUAACAGAGUGAAACCAGCGGCCUCCGAGAUGAGAUUUACAUCUGCCCGGUCGUUGACACAAAGGACAACUGUCUUGACAGUGUAGGUAUGAAGAGCUGAAUUUACUCAAGUCAGGAGCUACGGCAGAGUUAUAACUUAACUGUUCCAGUCCAUAAAUUCUGAACCUGAGCCGUGUAGACAGUGUAGGCUCAUGUUGGGUUGAUGGUCUUGUUGACUGAAUCUUUCCUGUCAGGAGAAUCCAGAUAAUUUUAAUGAAUUAAAUAAGUGGGCUGUUACAUUUUAAUUUAAUUUUAUUUUUUUUAUUAUUUUUUAAAUGAUUUUUUAGCCAUUUAUCAAAAAAUACAACAGUUAAAGUAUACCCCCACAGUGGGAUAAACAAAGGAUUAUCUUAUUUUAUUUUAUGUGCUGACUCAGAUUUCAUGUGAGGGCUUUCACAUCCAUACUGGAAUAAAGGAAUUAGAUCUACUUAAUACACAGUCUCUUGUUUCCAGCACAAAUUAACUAACAAUAAUGAUGAUGUACAUUUUUAGUAGUUUAGCAGGAAAUUUGUGUGGUUCCUUUUGUAUGGUGCCUUUUUUUUUUUUUGUCUGCCUUCAGUUUUGCCUUGCCCUCAGCAAGUCUAAUUGUUUAUAUGGCCACUCAUGUUUCUGACAGUUUUGUUUUACAGGUUUAAGAGGCCUCGUUCACUUCCUCUAUUGAGUCCAUAUUGUGGUUUCACAGAAACAGUUUCCAAACGCAAAUGCCACACGAUUAGCAAAUAACACGUAACUGUGUAAAAAUAAUAUUUAUGAUUCCUACAUUUUUCUCUGUCUUUUAAUGUGAAUACCCUCAAUUUAAAACUUAGAAUCUGUACUAUAUAAGGCUAUAUUCAUCAUAUCACUAUAAGUCAAAAGUGUUUUAAUGAAAAGCAACAUUUACAAAAAAAAAAACUGUCAGUGUAUGGACAUGGAUAUAUGGACAUAACUGUAUGGCUUCAGUAUUGAAUGAAUGAAUGAAUGAAAGCUUUAUUUCAAAUAUAGACAGUAUAUAAAGAUGGAUGACACAUCUCCAGAUCCAGUUGGAGGAUCUGAGUACAAAAGUGAAGCCAAAAUACUGCAGAAAUGGGCUUUGCUGUUGUGUGCUGGUGACAGUCUCAGACUAAGUUUAUGACCUGCAAUGAGCCACUGCAGGCGACUGAAAGAAGAGACUUUACUUCUGCAGAGCUUUCAUCUGUCGUAAUGUACUGCAGUGUCAAUGUUUAAAUUGCAUAACAUUUCUAGAGGAAGUAGUGGUGGCUGUUAAGCCCCGAAAGGUACCGGUUGUUUUUUGUUAGACGCAACCAUGAUGCAACUGUUGAGGAUGAAGUUUGCUGCCUGUCAAUAAUAUGUAAUGAAAGAUUAUUGCAAUUCUUGCCACAGGUUUAAAAUGGCGGUUUCUUAUAUAAAAUUGUUACAGCUCCCCGCUUUGAAAAAAAAAAAAAAAAAACUCACUGCCUGUUUGCAUCAAUUGUCUGAGUCCAAUAUAUUUCCAAAUAUCGAAAAUAAUUAGGUGAAAACAUCAGAAUUAUGAUGAGAAGUUUGCAUAAUUUAAAAUAAUAAUAUUAACCACACAUUUGUAGCAAAUCAUAAAAUAAUAAUUAAAAAAAAUUGAAUUUAGAUUGACCUGACCAUGAGCUGGUAAACAGUUUCCAUGGGCAGUUGAUUUGGUAUUAACAAGCAGCAGAACCAAAAGAUGAGGAUGGACGAUGGAGUAAAAAAACAAAAACAAAAAAAAAAAAGACGGAACAGUCGGCUGACAUUAAGUAUUAUGCACACUCUGCAGGAAGGAGUUUUCUUUUGACCGAAGCACUUCCAGCAUAAAAUGCCACAUUAACGCGAAGUCUACGUUACCUGCAAUUUAUAUUCAUGCGUUAAUGCCUAAGCAGAGCCUAUGUGGACCUCACUCCCCAGCUGAUGUGCACCUCCUCAGAAAUGUAACUACACACUGCAACGACACAGAACGCAAGAGCUGUUAUUUGUCUUAGUUGCUGCGUAUUUCCUCUUUAGUAUUUGUGCCUGCUUCUCCAUCUCCAUGAUUUUGGAAUGGACUGUUUUGGAUGAAUAAAGAAUCUGUAAGGUUACCUGAGGAGAACACAUUUGUAUGACUCGUGUUCGGUGUAAUUUCAUUGGAACUUGACCGAAACUUCAGCAAAAGUUUCAGCCAUCAUUGCAGAAACUAAAGCAGGAAGUGGAAAGUGAAGCAGGAAGCAGAUACAAAAUCAACCCACGCGUAGGUCGGCACAGCCACUACAAAUUAGGCUUUAGUCUGGGAUUCUGCUAGCACUUCAGCUAACCCGUCGCCCAGAUCUCGACAAACCAGAACAAAGACAAGCUGGAAAUGCUGGCUUGCAAAUAUCUGGCCACUCUUGCCACAUUCUGGCCACACUUGUGUGAGAGACCGUCCUCAGUUGCAGCAACAUUGUAAAUAAGAAGCCGUCUGCUCUCCUCUUGGACAAUGACAAUUAGCUAGUUUGUCUUAGUAGCUGCUGAAAGAGAAGGAACAGGGCUACAUUAAUGUGGAUGAAUGUUUGUUUAAAAAAAGAGACAAAAAGUUGUUAAGUUCUUUCAAGUUGUUUUGUUGAAACUGUUGAAGGUGUUUAAUUAACAUGUUAGCAUUUGUGUAUAUAUAUAUUCCCUUCUUUCUUGAGUCUGUUUGCUCCAGCUAAAUGAGUAUGAAUCGUGGAAUAUCGAAUAAUCGUGAAUUAUCAAUAUUUAAUUUUGAUUAAUCUGACUUCAUCCACAGCAACCCUGUGCUUAAUCUGAAUAAAAUUUUUAAUCGCUUGGCAGCACUAAUAUAUAUAUAAAGGGUCAUCUCAUUGAGAACAGAUAGAUGUGGGGAACUGGUGCAGUCUGACAGAUUCAGAACACAUCUCACACGGCACACUCCUUCAAGAGGCUCUGAAGCAGGAGAAAAAUACAAAUAAAUUAUACAUCAUUCUUUAAAAAGCUUCUCAGGUUCUCUUUUUGAAACAUACUUCUUAAGUGCACAGGAUCCAGAGGUUCGCCUGGUGGAAGAAAUCCACUCAGGAGACUGUUGUCAUGGCUACUGAAGAUUUUUUUUUGGAGCAUUUACAUGCAGCUUCUUCUGGUACUCUUCCCUCAGAUGCUUAUUAUGCUUCUUUUGGUAAAAGUGGGUCAACAAUGGAAAAAAAAGAGAGAGCUAAAAACGAGAGUGACUGAGUGACCAAGCUCAAUCGCUUCAAUCCUCUGGAGGGACAUUAUUAAUUAUUAAAUCAGUUUGUUGUCAACUGAAUGAAAAUAAAAUUAAUUCUUAAAUCUG
This is a long non-coding RNA of Mugil cephalus (flathead mullet), 4010 nucleotides long. RefSeq lists it as uncharacterized. The transcript has 2 exons. Lineage: Eukaryota; Metazoa; Chordata; Actinopteri; Mugiliformes; Mugilidae. The record is from RefSeq and is a predicted model, not a curated record.